Molecule: microRNA, 20 nt
Filed under: Macrophomina phaseolina MS6
Lineage: Eukaryota; Fungi; Ascomycota; Dothideomycetes; Botryosphaeriales; Botryosphaeriaceae
Description: miR-4507
Source: RNAcentral
CUGGGCUGGGCUGGGCUGAG